This 368-nucleotide ribosomal RNA is filed under the name uncultured organism. RNAcentral describes it as "bacterial LSU rRNA". It matches the Rfam family "Bacterial large subunit ribosomal RNA", at positions 2099 to 2465 of the family's 2925-position model. The record is from RNAcentral.
CUUUACUGUAGCCUGGUAUUGGGUUCGGGCUUUGACUGCGCAGGAUAGGUGGGAGACUGAGAAGUGUGCCUUGUGGGGCACAUAGAGUCAACGGUGGGAUACCACUCUGUCAGAGCUAGGAUUCUAACCUUCACCCGUGAUCCGGGGAAGGAACCGUAUCAGGUGGGCAGUUUGACUGGGGCGGUCGCCUCCUAAAAGGUAACGGAGGCGCGCAAAGGUGUUCUCAGGCUGGUUGGAAAUCAGCCGUAGAGUGUAAAGGCAGAAGAACGCUUGACUGUGAGAGUGACAACUCAAGCAGGGUGGAAACACGGCCUUAGUGAUCCGACGGUAUGCGCGUGGAAGUGCCGUCGCUCAACGGAUAAAAGUUA